This 425-nucleotide long non-coding RNA is filed under the name Pan troglodytes (chimpanzee). RNAcentral's name for it is "long non-coding RNA NONPTRT005678". The record is from RNAcentral. Lineage: Eukaryota; Metazoa; Chordata; Mammalia; Primates; Hominidae.
AUUUACCGAGGAGGACUCGGGCCCUGCGAGGUCACUUCAUCCUGGCCCAGGUACUGCAGCUCCAAAUCGUGGGGAUUCUGUAAGAGCUUGCUACCUGUUGACUGAGGAGGCCCACGAGUCGAGAAGAACUAGCAAGAGUGGUACAAAACUGCAGGUCAUUGGGCUGGCCACCAGGUAUUCCCACCCACCAGAAGCUGGCUGUUGUACUCACCCGGAACCAUGGUGCACCACCACAGCGGCGAGGUCAUACAGGCAGCUCUCCGGGCCACUGUUCUCAGGCUACAGAACAAGGAAGAAGGAGCAGUGGUCAAUGACAUCAGUAUCUCGAUGACCUCUACCCUCUCCAUGUGAUGACAAUCUUACUGAAGAGCCAUUUUUUCACCAUGCUAAAAAGGUAAUCCUUUCUGGUAUAACAUGAAGUCAGC